CGUGAGUGAUGAAGGCUUUCGGGUCGUAAAGCUCUGUCAAGUGGGAAGAACCCACAUGGUGUUAAUACCACCAUGUGUUGACGGUACCACUGAAGGAAGCACCGGCUAACUCCGUGCCAGCAGCCGCGGUAAUACGGGGGGUGCAAGCGUUAUUCGGAAUUACUGGGCGUAAAGAGCGCGUAGGCGGUCUUUUAAGUCAGGUGUGAAAGCCCGGGGCUCAACCCCGGAAGUGCACUUGAAACUAAGGGACUUGAGUAUGGGAGAGGGAAGUGGAAUUCCUGGUGUAGCGGUGAAAUGCGUAGAUAUCAGGAGGAACAUCGGUGGCGAAGGCGACUUCCUGGACCAAUACUGACGCUGAGGCGCGAAGGCGUGGGGAGCAAACAGGAUUAGAUACCCUGGUAGUCCGCGCAGUAAACGGUGAACACUAGGUGUAGCGGGUAUUGACCCCUGCUGUGCCGCAGCAAACGCAUUAA
RNAcentral lists this ribosomal RNA (473 nucleotides) under uncultured delta proteobacterium. Its description in RNAcentral is "bacterial SSU rRNA". It matches the Rfam family "Bacterial small subunit ribosomal RNA", at positions 400 to 863 of the family's 1533-position model. The record is from RNAcentral. Lineage: Bacteria; Deltaproteobacteria.